This is a long non-coding RNA of Panicum virgatum (switchgrass), 1374 nucleotides long. RefSeq lists it as uncharacterized. The transcript has 2 exons. The record is from RefSeq and is a predicted model, not a curated record. NCBI's taxonomy places the organism in Eukaryota, Viridiplantae, Streptophyta, Magnoliopsida, Poales, Poaceae.
UGGAGAAAAAAAGAGACCCUAGCCACAUUCGUCUCUCUUUCCUCUACUCUCUCUCUCUCCCUCCCCGCCGCCGCUGGUCGCCGUGUGCAUCUCGCUGACUCCCCACCCCACUCUGGCACAACACCGCCAUCACUUCCUUCCUUUCGUGUUCUUGUCGAGCAGCAGUCCGGUGUUGCGGUAACGGAAAGUGGAGCAGAAGCUGCGGCGAGUCGGCGACAGCAAGCUCGAUUGGAUUUGGUGCUGCGGAGGCUGCAUACGGUCCACCAGUCAGCCAAUAGUUGAAGCUCAAGGCCUGUGAGGUGUGGCGGCUGGACCAGGCCUCCCCGUCGCGAGCUCCACCCGAUCUUCUCAUCACCGACAGCGCUCCCAUGAGCAAGCGGCUACCCAAUCUCUCUAGAUCCAGUCAACACGGCGCUACCUGCUCGAGAUCUGGCAUCCUCAAGCAGCGGCUCGUCUGCAACUGAACACGAAGAAUUCCCUCCUGACCUCCUCCGGCAGCAUCUGUGGUGGUUCCUGAGGCAGGGAAAGGCAGCUAUGCAGUGCUGGCGACCACGAUGCGUAGCGGCAGCCUCCCUCCCUCCUUGCAAUGAGCGAUGGCCAGAGUUCUUCCACAGUCUCAUAGGAGGCAUCCCCUCGGAGCCAGUUAGAGCGGGUCUGCAUCUGAGGAUGCCCCGUGCUCCCAGCUAGCUCUUCCCAGCAGGCCGUGUGCAAUCGGCUGCUGGCGUUCAAGGGACAGGACACUUCGGCCGUGUCAGGGAGCGGCACCAGCGCGAUGGGCGCGACGGCCCCGGAACUCAUCCCCGCGGACAGGCGGACAGCAUGCUGCAUGCCCAGGCAAGUGGAUGAGCGUAGCUAGCUACUUUGAUGAUUUUUUUACCACCGUUUGUGUGCUAGAGUGUUGCAUGUGUUCAUGCCUGCGUUGCCUAUGUUCCACAGGCUGUGGUAAUCAAUUUGACAGCUGGUAAUUCAAGUAAAUUCCCCUAAAGAAAAGACGCCUUCUGCGAUAUGAUCACGGAAGCAAGCACAGGAAGCAAUGAUGGAAUAUCUAUCUUUCUUGUGUAUGAGUUUUUCAUUCCGAUUUAUCCACCCUGAGGCACAAUUAGCUAGCUUCUCGUUUGUUGUUCUUUAAGUUGUGGGCUAACUAUAGAAGACAAAUUUGUUUCCUGUCUUCAAAAAAACAGCUUUUGACAUACUUCCAUUUUUUUACCUUUUGUUUGUAACAACCACAAUGGUUCUUGAUGCUGUGGUUACAAAGCUGAAAGGCAUGGCACCAAUUAUUGUUUCUCAACUUGGCAUUUGAAGCUCAAGAGCUUAUCUGAAAUAUGAAUGCAGUCUUGUGCAGUUGUUCUAAAUUGCAUAUGAUUUUCCUGCAAA